Long non-coding RNA from Ailuropoda melanoleuca (giant panda), 757 nucleotides. RefSeq lists it as uncharacterized. The record is from RefSeq and is a predicted model, not a curated record. The transcript is spliced from 3 exons. NCBI's taxonomy places the organism in Eukaryota, Metazoa, Chordata, Mammalia, Carnivora, Ursidae.
CCUGCCAACAGACGGGGCGGAGAGCUGAGCACGAGGUGCCGGGGGCAACCCCCCCUUGAGUUACCUGACCCCCUGCUUGUGUCAAGUAAGACCUCCAGGACCUGAGAUUAAAGUGGGGCCCACGACAGAGGUUCAGUCCUGGAAGAGCAGCCCUGCCCUUUCCAGACCAAAGAAAACAAGUAAAGCGGGUUUUGUACAGAGACCUGGAGCACGGGACAGGUCCCCAGUUCCUGAUACUGACUUCCUGCUUUUGGCCAUGGCUCUUCCUCCCUGCAAGUCCUCGUGCUUCAGAACUACAAGUCCUCGUGCUUCAGAACUACAAGGGGAUGCUCAGUAGACACCAACCGGAACGUGAGAACGCCACACGGGCAACAUUCCCAGGACACUAGCGAACUCUUGACUGUCUGAAGCAGCAGUGGGAGUGGGGGAGUCCACGGAAAGCAUGGAGACGAUCUACCGAUACUCUGAGAACCUCAACGGAAACGUUCCCUGAUGAGCCUCCCAGACAGUCAGAGCCAGCAGGACAUAGCCUUCAUGUCCCAAGGUGAAUUUCAUUUCUUUUUCCCUUUCAUUCCACCUGUGACAGGAGUGAGCCACUCUCAGGUCAGUCAAAGUGGGCAGGAACACAAUAGGCCACAGAGGGCUGAGUUGGCCAUGAGCUGGACUCUGGGCCAUCCAGAGUUGGCCGUGUCGCUAAGGUGCUAAAAACAACCAAGCGGGUCAAUGUCAAGGGCUCCGGAGACCCGGGCCGUUACCU